AACGAACGCUGGCGGCGUGCUUAACACAUGCAAGUCGAACGGAUCAAGGGGCUUGCUCCUUGAUUAGUGGCGCACGGGUGAGUAACGCGUGGAUAAUCUGCCCGACGAUCUGGGAUAACAUCUCGAAAGGGGUGCUAAUACCGGAUAAGCCCACGGGGUCUUCGGAUCUUGCGGGAAAAGAGGGGGACCUUCGGGCCUCUUGUCGUCGGAUGAGUCCGCGUACCAUUAGCUAGUUGGCGGGGUAAAGGCCCACCAAGGCUACGAUGGUUAGCUGGUCUGAGAGGAUGAUCAGCCACACUGGAACUGAGACACGGUCCAGACUCCUACGGGAGGCAGCAGUGGGGAAUUUUGCGCAAUGGGGGAAACCCUGACGCAGCAACGCCGCGUGAGUGAUGAAGGCCUUCGGGUCGUAAAGCUCUGUCUAGAGGAAAGAAGUGUGGGGUGGCUAAUAUCCACUUCACUUGACGGUACCUCUGAAGGAAGCACCGGCUAACUCCGUGCCAGCAGCCGCGGUAAUACGGAGGGUGCGAGCGUUGUUCGGAUUUAUUGGGCGUAAAGCGCGUGUAGGCGGUUUCUUAAGUCUGAUGUGAAAGCCCCGGGCUCAACCUGGGAAGUGCAUUGGAUACUGGGAGACUUGAAUACGGGAGAGGGUAGUGGAAUUCCUAGUGUAGGAGUGAAAUCCGUAGAUAUUAGGAGGAACACCGGUGGCGAAGGCGGCUACCUGGACCGAUAUUGACGCUGAGACGCGAAAGCGUGGGUAGCAAACAGGAUUAGAUACCCUGGUAGUCCCCGCCGUAAACGAUGAGAACUAGGUGUUGCGGGUAUUGACCCCUGCAGUGCCGCAGCUAACGCAUUAAGUUCUCCGCCUGGGAAGUACGGUCGCAAGACUA
This 890-nucleotide ribosomal RNA is filed under the name uncultured bacterium. RNAcentral's name for it is "bacterial SSU rRNA". It matches the Rfam family "Bacterial small subunit ribosomal RNA", at positions 28 to 896 of the family's 1533-position model. The record is from RNAcentral.